GCCAGUGCUGGCGGGCUUGGUGCUGAGUGCUGCUGGCUUCUCAUCUUCCUCUGCUGUGCUGGACUACUGGAGAAACAGUGAAGGAGUCUGCGUGAAGAGACCAUCCCUGACUAGAGGAGACCCUAAACCAGUCAAUUCCUCCAUACUUCGGAUCCGCUUCUUGGUCAGCAAGUGUCCCGGGGAAGCCAGGUUAGCGUGAGUGAUAGGAUCCUGCCAAUCAGAGUGAGAAACGCUGAAGGAAAUAGCCUUGCUCGCUCCCAGCACCUCCCGGGCUCCCUAGCUCAGUGUGUAAACAAGAUCAUGUGACAUCCUACAAAAAUCAAUAGAUACCCAGCAAUUCUCUCCUAGAUAGAUAGACGGUCAAGAGAAUGUCUACACAAAACACUUAGACGCAGAUGUUCCCAGCAGCACGGUAACAAGAAAAGGGGAAACGACUGAACUGUGGGUUGAUGGGUCAUCCUUAAGCAAAUUUUUGGUUUGUCCAUGCAAUGGACCAGUGUUUGAUAAUAAAAAGGAUGAACCUUAAACGCAUACCAGUCACAAAAGACUCCACUGGGUAUGGUUCUGUUUGUGUGGAACGUCCAGAAGAGGCAAAUCUAUAGAGAUAGGAAACAUACUAGAGUUUCCAGGGACGGCGAAGGGGAGAUUGAGAAGGGACUACUAAACGGAUAGAGUUUUUCUCACUGUGGUUUGGAACGCCCUGUUUUGAAGGCUUGGUCCCCAGCUGAUGGUGCUAUUGGAAAGAGAUGCAACCUUCAGUAGCUGGGCAUUAUAGAAGGAAAUAAGGUCUCUGGGGAGUGUGUACUGGGACCUGUGCCACUCGUUCUCAGUCUUCCUGCCUGCAGUGAUCUGAGUAGCUGUGUCGUCCAUGCACUGUCAGUAGCCUCAUGACAGACCCAGACCAUGAGCCAAAAGAAAAAUUUAGGUGUUUUAAGUUGUUUAUCUCAGGUGUUAUGGCAGCAGCAGAAAGAUCUUGUUAUUUUUAUAUUGCUGUGGUAAGACACUAUGACUGGGCAGCUUGUAGAAGAAAGAAUUUAUUGGGGGUGUAUGGGUUCAGAAGGUGAGUCCAUGACCACCAGGGCUGGGAAUAUGACAGCAGGUAGGCCAAUACCCUGAUCCACAGGCACCAGACAGAGAGAUCUAUUGGGAAUGGCAGAGCUUUUGAAAGCUCAAAGCUUGCCCCCAAUGACACACCUCCUCCAAUAAAGCAACACCUCUUAAUCCUUCCCAAAUGGUCCCCUCACUGUGAACCAGGUAUUCAGCUAUAGGGCUGUUCUCAUUCAACCUGCCACACUGACUAACACAGACUAUUGGUAAUGAGGAGUGGGGGCUUGAUGAUGUGGUUCAGAAGACACUGGAAUUAUUGUGAAGGAGUUUGGGAAAGUUUCAGGGAACAGGAAAGCCUAGAAUGUUGUCUUCAGUGGAGCUUAAUGGGAAAUUCUGGCGAGAACUUAAGAGACCACCAUGCUAUCAAGGGUGUAGACAGCAAAGGCUGUGUUUAUGAGGUGCCAGGUGGAAGUGAGGACUCUAUUGGGAACUAGACUAGAAGCCAUUCUUGUUACACUCUGGUAAACAACUUGUCCUAGCCUUUGUGGAGUAGAUGAGUUUAUCUGAUAGAAGAAACUUAAAUCAUUCCGGCAGUGGCAUGGGUAUUGCUGGCUGGUUUUAGCCAGAUUUGCAGUGAGAAUUGGGAUUAGAAAGCAAAACAGGAUAUGGAAAAGCAUAUAGCAUUUCCAGAAAAAGAGCAUGUAUAACCAAAAGACGUGCUGUUGUUGGAGAGAGGACCCCUUAAAAGAGGCCAAGGGGCUGUAGAGAUGGCCCAACUGGUAAAGUGUUUGGCUUGCAUACACGAAGAUCUAAAUUCAAUCCCCAGAACCUAUGUAAGAAAGCCAUUCAUAGUGGUGCACACUUGUAAUCCCAGUGCCAGACAGGCAGAGACAAGUGGAUCCAUGGGGCUCACAGACCAACAAGCCUUGUCCAUUUGCUAAGCUCUAGGCCAGCCGAAGGCCCUGUCUCUCAAAUGGGUAUGAACAGUGCCUGGCAAAUAAUAUUUGAGGUUUUUCUAGGCAGCACAGUAGAUCUGAACCUAUUGACUGGGGAGCAAGUGAACCUCCCUAAGAACAUGAACAUGGGAGACCUAGCCCUACCCCUCAUCUGCCAUACGACAGUAUGGACGAGGGAGAGAUGCCUCCCAUCAAUGCCCAAGGCAGGUGAGAGAACAGACCCUGAGGUCCUAAGAGCAGGAGAGUUGCCCCUGUCCUGCACCAGCGGCAACACUUGGGAGAGUGGCCCCUAUGCCAUGCCUGGGCAACACAGGAGAGCUGGCCCUAAAGAUGUAGGUGUGGGAGAACUAACCCUGAGGGUGUGAAAGUGGGAGAAAUGGCCCCUCCCCUUGCUCUCAACUCCUAGGGUUGAACUAGCCAAGGCAAUGCUAGAGAGCCCACCCUGGUGAAGACAGGGGAGAGCUGGAGGACUGAUCAACUCUGCAAAUAUCCAAGGCCAGAACCAGGGUUCUGUGUUGACCCACCCCAACAUCCACCGCUGAUCCUGCAAAUCCAAACUAUAAGAUCUCCAUGACACAGGGCAACAACAGGAUAACCAGAAGUUCCAAUGAGUCCCAGCAUUGAUAGUGCAGCAGAAACCAGAGGCCUCAAACUGGACCAAUAACUCUUUGCAAUGAACACUUUCAGAUAUCCAGCCCUGGUAAAACAAUGCAUGUGGACAUGCAGUCAUCAUCGGUGACCAGGCCUGAAAGCAUUGUGGGGGAGACAUGAGGGAGAUGCUGGCAGGUGCUGUGCCGUGACACCUGGAUGAUGUUCUGAGGCACAGGGAACCUCAGGAAGAGGUAUCUUUUCCUCUGCCCAGCACCUCAGCGAGACCACCAUCUCUAAACAUCUGGGUUCUGGUUGAAGACAGCGCAGAGGUUCCUGCGAGGGCGAUCCCUGGGCACUGAGUUGUUGAUAUACAGUAGGGCUAGGGAGGUGGCGUCAGAAUCCGAGGAGUUCCUGAAGCCUCCCCUCGCCCCCUGAGACCUUCCACGCCUAGUAGUGAAUGUCAGAGGAGAACUACCCUGGAGGACACUGACGUCAGCUGCAGAGCCGAUACAGCCUCCCUCUGGUGAGCUCAGCCUUGCCUGGUCUAGGACCACUUCACAUCCCACCAGCUGAGCAUCCCAGGCCACCCCUCAGAAACCUUCUGCUGAAGAUAAAGGGACUGGCACUGUUGGCUUUGAAGCCUGGGUGACAGUGAGGGGCAGAGCUGCCCGCCAGCCCAACUCUCGCCAGGAAGCUGUCCAAUGAGAAACAAGAACCUGGCAGUCUUUUAUUUAUUUGUUUGUUUCAUGUGCAUGAAUGUUUUGCCUGUGUGCAUGCAUGUUCACCACGUGCAGGCCUGGAGCCCACAGAGGUCAGAAGACGUUAUGGGUUCCACUGGAGUUGGUGGUUUGGAAGAUAGAAGCCACCAUAUAAGUGCUGGGGAUCAAGUCUGGGUCCUCUGUAGGAGCAAUAAGUAGUCUUAGCUGCCAAGGCAUCCCUCCAGUCCACACUUACAGAUUCCUUAAGCUAUUGCACUCAGGGGUCUCUGCAAUGUCCUGUCACCCUGGCUAAUCUCACUGUCUUGGCUGCUGGCACAGCCCCACCCCACCAUGUGUGCUCUCUCUAGUUAAGCUGUUGGGAGACCGCAGCAAGAGGAAGGCCCUACGGUGCACCUGCGCACUGCCUGAGCCUCAGAAGACCAGGUACCUCCUCAGUGUCCUCCCUCCGUGUUGGAGGGCAGCAUGGACAUGGCAGGACACGCAGAGGCCAGUGGCACAGCCUGAACCUGUUUUUGAGAUGUUUCCGUCCAUCCUGACCUACCACACACUCGAAAUUUUCCGCAAGCCGCCGCCUGCUCUGUGGUUAAUCACAUAGUGACCCCCAGUUACUUGUCUGUCUGGGGAUUCUUUUAGUAGGGAGGGUGUUUGCAAUUGUGUGCUGGCUGGACUGAAGGCCAGAGGAUAACCUUCAGGUGCCACCGGCCUUUUCUCUCACUGACCAGUUUGGCAGGCUGGCUGGCCAACAAGCCCUGAGGGAUCAGCCCGUCUCCACCUCCUCAUGGCCAGGAGUGUACACUUCUGUGCCAACAGUUUGUUUUUAACUGGAGUUCUGUGGAUAUGACUUAGUUCCUCUUACUUGCAAGACAAGCACUUUACUGACUGAGCCAUCCCAUUCCAUCUGGGGAUUUCCUGUCUCCUGAUGGCUUCCUCCCCUCCCCUCCCAUCUGUGAGCCUCAGAGAAGAGCCUAGGAACCAGGCUAACUCCCUGACCUUAGUGGUGUGAGGCGCCAAAUGGAGAGGAGAUGGACCACAAAGUACCUGUAGCAAGUGCCAUGAGGAGAGGACAUGACAAUAAGGCAGUUUCGUGUCCAGUUACAUUUGUGUGACAUUUCAAGAACAGGCCGAUCCAUAGAAACAAAAUGCAGGACACUGACUUCCAGGGGUACCUGUGGCAAGUGCUUCCGCGUGCAGACUUUGUUUUAGGGUAAUAGAAACAUUCUGGAAUGACAGAGUGGCAUUGGUCACAAAACACCAUGAGUCUACUAAACGGAACUGAAUAACACUCAAAAAUGGUCAAAAUGGUGACUUUUGCGUCAUGUGGCCUUUAUCACAAUAAACCAAUAGUAAGCAUUUAGAAGACACUCGGGGUCUUUAGGGAUGAUUCUGGUAGUGACAGAGGCAAAGAGAAAGGGAAAAAUCUUUUGACCCUGUGGUCUUGCUCAGUCCGUCUUCUCUUCUCUCUCAGAGGGAAUGCCGAGGGCAGACAGACAGAGCACGGUGCUGACUCCAGGAAGGUGUGAAGGCUGGGCAGUUGGCAAUAGGCCAAUUCAGAAUUUUCUUGUGUGCCAUAAAUCUUUCUCACUUUAUUUUUAAUUACCUAGCAUUCAAACACUAUCCUAUGUCAAAAGGACACAAGGGACAGAUUCUCCUCUGCAGUUCUUGGUUAUUCUUGGGUACCUUGUGUCCGCAUCCUACCAUUGUCUCUAUUCCCCUCACUCUGGCUCUCAGAUGUCUGACCCACCUCAGCUCCUGGGAUACUGGUGCUGAGGCUCUGGACCAAUAACAGUGAAGCAAAGAUGCAGGGGAGGAGAGCGCUCAGAGUGGCCAAGCCACAAAAGGUCAGAGUCCAGGGGCAGCAGCUUUAUGCAAGGCUGGGGAACAGCUUUCCUGGUGACCUCCUCACUACUGCCUGACCAUGGCUGGGACUUUCCAAGCCUGCUUUCCCUGCUUCCCUCACUUUUCCAGCUGCCUGGUGACCUUCCUCUAAAGUCUGGAUGGCUCAGAUGCACCCAGCUCUUUUUGUAGGUUGUAGUUAGCAGCCUGUUGCAGGGACACAGUCUUCCCACCUCCCUCAAAGAAGAAAACAAGGUGCAGGGCCGCAAAAUGCCUGUGACUCCUCACAGGACCCACACGUUGUCUGCCCCUCGAUGCCUGUGCAGGUGGCUGUAACUCUCAGCACUACAGAUGUGGAUAUAAAAUGUAUCACCAGGCACUAUGUUACAGUAACUAUGGUGAUGAGCAGGCAGAAUGCUGCCCUAGCAAUUAGAGGCCAAGCCACAGAGAACUGGGCAGUCUUGAGCAAGCCAGUUCCUUCUCUAUUCAGACCAAGAUGAAUUGUGGGCCCGUUCCCAGUGCUCAGGAUUCUGCGAUUCAAGAAAUGAGAAAUUACAGUCCUAUGCCUUAGCAGCAUGCCUAGGGAAACACACCAUCAUCUCUCAAAGACACUCCAUCUCACUCGGAGCCCUACAACUAAGACAGCUUCAGUUUUCAACCUUCAGCAGUUAAACAGGGCAUGGCCUUGGAAUAAGCAGCAACGCUUCCUACCUGCCACAUCCCCCUUGGGGCCUAUCAUCUUUGACGGGCUAAUAAGAGGUGGCAUUAGUUGGUGCUUACUGUAUACAACUGCUCUAGGAGUUUUGCAUAUAGUACCUCACUGAUCCUUAUACCAACCUCAUGAAAGAGAGGGUGUUGUCCCAUUUCUCAGAUGAAGGAACCAAGGAGCAGAGAAGUUAAGUGACUUCCCAAAUGUACAUAGUUAGUGUGAUAUGCCAUAUUCAAAUUCACACUACCUGGAUC
Long non-coding RNA from Myodes glareolus (Bank vole), 6109 nucleotides. RefSeq lists it as uncharacterized. NCBI's taxonomy places the organism in Eukaryota, Metazoa, Chordata, Mammalia, Rodentia, Cricetidae. The record is from RefSeq and is a predicted model, not a curated record.